CAAUAGCGUAUAUUUAAGUUGUUGCAGUUAAAAAGCUCGUAGUUGAAUUUCUGGUGGGCGCGCCGGUCUUCCAAGUGUUGUACUGGGCGCAGUCCGCCAUCCUUGUGGAGAGGGCUCGCAUUGAGUUGCGUGUCGGAUCUGCAUCAUUUACUGUGAAAAAAUUAGAGUGUUUAAAGCAGGCUGUCGCUUGAAUACAUUAGCAUGGAAUAAUAAGAUAGGACUUCGGUCUAUUUUGUUGGUUGCGAACCGAGGUAAUGAUUAAUAGGGAUAGUUGGGGGUAUUCAUAUUUAAUUGUCAGAGGUGAAAUUCUUGGAUUUAUGAAAGAUGAACAACUGCGAAANCANNNACCAAGGAUGUUUUCAUNAA
RNAcentral lists this ribosomal RNA (366 nucleotides) under uncultured eukaryote. RNAcentral's name for it is "partial 18S ribosomal RNA". It matches the Rfam family "Eukaryotic small subunit ribosomal RNA", at positions 592 to 976 of the family's 1831-position model. The record is from RNAcentral.